UGGGGAAUUUUGGACAAUGGGGGAAACCCUGAUCCAGCCAUCCCGCGUGUGCGAUGAAGGCCUUCGGGUUGUAAAGCACUUUUGGCAGGAAAGAAACGUCAUGGGUUAAUACCCCGUGAAACUGACGGUACCUGCAGAAUAAGCACCGGCUAACUACGUGCCAGCAGCCGCGGUAAUACGUAGGGUGCAAGCGUUAAUCGGAAUUACUGGGCGUAAAGCGUGCGCAGGCGGUUCGGAAAGAAAGAUGUGAAAUCCCAGAGCUCAACUUUGGAACUGCAUUUUUAACUACCGGGCUAGAGUGUGUCAGAGGGAGGUGGAAUUCCGAGUGUAGCAGUGAAAUGCGUAGAUAUGCGGAGGAACACCGAUGGCGAAGGCAGCCUCCUGGGAUAACACUGACGCUCAUGCACGAAAGCGUGGGGAGCAAACAGG
Molecule: ribosomal RNA, 429 nt
Filed under: Acidobacteriota bacterium
Lineage: Bacteria; Pseudomonadati; Acidobacteriota
Description: Acidobacteria bacterium partial 16S ribosomal RNA
Rfam family: Bacterial small subunit ribosomal RNA
Source: RNAcentral